AGUAAUACAUAAGUAACCUGCCCUAGACAGGGGGAUAACUAUUGGAAACGAUAGCUAAGACCGCAUAGGUACGGACACUGCAUGGUGACCGUAUUAAAAGUGCCUCAAAGCACUGGUAGAGGAUGGACUUAUGGCGCAUUAGCUGGUUGGCGGGUAACGGCCCACCAAGGCGACGAUGCGUAGCCGACCUGAGAGGGUGACCGGCCACACUGGGACUGAGACACGGCCCAG
Molecule: ribosomal RNA, 231 nt
Filed under: uncultured bacterium
Lineage: Bacteria
Description: partial 16S ribosomal RNA
Rfam family: Bacterial small subunit ribosomal RNA
Source: RNAcentral